RNAcentral lists this ribosomal RNA (257 nucleotides) under uncultured bacterium. Its description in RNAcentral is "partial 16S ribosomal RNA". It matches the Rfam family "Bacterial small subunit ribosomal RNA", at positions 524 to 777 of the family's 1533-position model. The record is from RNAcentral.
UACGAAGGGGGCUAGCGUUGCUCGGAAUCACUGGGCGUAAAGGGUGCGUAGGCGGGUCUUUAAGUCAGGGGUGAAAUCCUGGAGCUCAACUCCAGAACUGCCUUUGAUACUGAAGAUCUUGAGUUCGGGAGAGGUGAGUGGAACUCCUAGUGGUAGAGGUGGAAUUCGUAGAUAUUAGGAAGAACACCAGUGGCGAAGGCGGCUCACUGGUCCGGUACUGACGCUGAGGUGCGAAAAGCGUGGGGGAGCAAACAGGG